Molecule: long non-coding RNA, 282 nt
Organism: Calidris pugnax (ruff)
Lineage: Eukaryota; Metazoa; Chordata; Aves; Charadriiformes; Scolopacidae
Exons: 3
Source: RefSeq, a predicted model, not a curated record
GAUUUUUCUGAGCAGGCCUCCCAAGCUAGACAUGUCAGUAUGAGAUGCUGCCUACGUUUUUCAUCAUGACCAACAGGUUGUUAAACUGCAAUCAAAAGCACUUAGGAGGAAUGGAUCUGUCCCUGUUAUGGGAUUUGAACUGACAUCUUUAUCCACUGGAACUUGAGUGCCCAGGACACACCAGAGAGGGGAUUUUGAGAGCGUUUCACAAGGCCUGCAGCUGUGAGCCGGUUGCAGCAUGAGGAAAAGCCCUCCAUCACCCCAAUGCACAGGAAAGAGAAG